Molecule: long non-coding RNA, 393 nt
Filed under: Vitis vinifera (wine grape)
Lineage: Eukaryota; Viridiplantae; Streptophyta; Magnoliopsida; Vitales; Vitaceae
Description: long non-coding RNA (VVIN_LNC007040)
Source: RNAcentral
AAUUAUGAAUAAGAGGUGCGUUCCUAGCCUAUCAAGAGAUGGUUAAUUUUGCUAAGCUUAAAGAAAGACUUAGGUUGGGGGGAGAUGAUAGUUAUCCAUACUAUACUCGGAAGCUAAUCACAUUAACACUUAGCUUUUAGUGGAAGAAUUUGAUUUGGAUCUUUUGAGAGUGGAAAUUCUUUUGAUGCUUAAAACUUGCAUAAUAUCCAUUCUUUGUACUCUAUGAUCAAGUGAAUGCUUUGACAACUCUUAUUAUAGGUUGAGUUUCACAUCUUUAUUGAUCCAUGGAUGUCCAUCAUGCCACUCAUAUCAUUUUUUGGAGUGAUUUUCAUGAUCCCUUUUAUGUAUAUUAUUAUAGUUUACUUAGUUUUUAUCUCCUCCAUUGCUAAGGGA